CUGAACGCCUCUAAGUCAGAAUCCAUGCCAGAACGCGGUGAUACCACCCGCACGUAUAGACGGACAAGAAUAGGCUUCGGCUUUGUGUCUUAGCAGGCGAUUCUUCCACGGCGCUCGAAGCGCGUCGUGGUAUUUCGCGUAUUGUAAUUUCAACACGAGCGGGGUCAAAUCCUUUGCAGACGACUUAGCUGUGCGAAACGGUCCUGUAAGCAGUAGAGUAGCCUUGUUGUUACGAUCUGCUGAGGGUAAGCCGUCCUUCGCCUCGAUUUCCCCAAUGGGUUCUCCGGAUUUCUGGAGACUUGUAGGGGUUGUGGGCUUUUUUCGAGAUGUCGUCUCCGGACGGGCGGUGCAGGGUAGUCGGGUUGGACUUGGUGGAAUUCGAUUCCUUCGAGUCUGGCACGGCUGUGUGCGGCUGUGCGCUGGACGGUGCAGGGUAGGCUACUCAGUCUUGAUCGAUUCGAGGAUCGAUUCGAGGGCUGAGCGUCGACUGUGUGUGAGGGGUGGGGUCUAGGGUAGGCUGGUUUGUCUUGGUCGAGGAUGAUGUCGGCUCCCGUGUAGAUCGGAGCGAGGGUGGUGCAGGGUAGGUACAGGGUAGGCAGCUUAGACUUGCUCGACCUGGAUGUCGGUUCUCUGCCUGACGGGUCUGGGGUCGUCGAGACGGGAUGUGACGGGUGUAGGGUAAGCAACUUCUGACUGCCGGGAGGCGGUUCGAAUUGAGAUGCGCGGUCUAGGUUAGGUGCAGGGUAGGUAGAAUCCCUGUUUCGUUGCUGAUAGAUUGCUGUGGGUGUAGGUUAGGUACAGGGUAAGCAGUUUUCUCCCGCGGCCAGUACUCGCAUGUGCGUGCGAAACGGUUUUGUGGUCUGGUGGCCGUGAGUCGAUUUUUUUGUUUUGCCAUACUAUCGAAUUUUGCGGGAAUUCAAAAGUGGCCCGCGAGUCCGGUCUGGCGUGCGUCCGACUCGAAGAUCGUCGGUGGACAUAUGAGAGGGAGAAAUCCGGCCGGGCGGGGGCCCACGCCGAGGCGCAGGGUAGGUAAAAGUAAAAAAGUUGUUAAGAGGCGCGGUGUCGGUGUGCUUGUAUCUGAGGAAGAGAAUUGUCUGGAGGUAGAGGGCGGCCAGGAAAUCCGAUGUCCACCCGGGCAUGGGAGCGGGUCUCGGCCCGGAUUCUGGUGCGGUGCAGGGUAGGCAGGUCCAUAUAGAUAGUCUAGGGUAGGUACAGGGUAGGCACAGGGUAGGUAGAAGUCUGGUAUAUAGUACGGGCGGGUGUAGGGUAGGCUCAGACGCCGAUCCGUUUCGCGCCCUCACCUUUGCUCGAGAAACGACGAUCUUGGCCGGGAUGGAGGUCUAGGGUAGGCUGAAUAUACGAUCAUAUAAGCUGUACUGCUCUAGGGUAGGUGAAAAUCCCAUACGAAUCUGAUCAGAAUUGGUGAAGAAGUGGUUUUGCUCGGAAGAUGCAGAAAAGUGUAGUGCAGAACUGUAUGUGACUUUGCAAAAGUGAGCGUGAAAUUGGAAAGUCGGACUUUCCGAGCAGAUGUGAGCACGUUUGACAUGUCGUCGGAUGCGCCUCAUCGAGACGAACACAACGGUGUAGCCUAUGUGUCCGCAGGACUCCUGUGCGUCCGUCCAGGGCGGGAUAAGUAGAAAAUGAAGAGGUAUAGGGUAGGUAGUCACACCCACGACCCGUUCACCUCGUCCGUCGAUUCGUCUUUAUAUGUGGGACAGGUCUAGGGUAGGUCAAAGUCAGGUCUAGGGUAGGCGACUUCCCACCUCAAAGCUGCCUACCCGGUGGUCAGCUUCAAUCGCCUCUCACGGUCGCCACGGACCUCGCACGAAGAUGGGACCACCUCUAUCGCAUUCGCCUUGGUCGAAAUAGUCGGUAUACGCACUUUUGAAAAAAUGCGUGCAAAAUGGUUUUGUGGUUUGGUGGCCGUGAGUCGAUUUUUUUGUUUUCCCAUACAAAUGAAUUUUGCGGAAAAUAAAAAGUGGCCCACGAGGCAGUUCUGGCGUGCGGUCCACUAAAACGGUCUCGGAGGGUAUAUGAGAAGGGAGCAAAUCCGGCCGAGCCUGAAAGGGUGAGGGAAAACCGGACGAGCAACCUCUCGUACCUGAUCUUGAAGACUUCCACUGCGUGUCCCUCUGUACAGCUUUGCAGGCUCCGGCCUCGGCAGCGGGGGGUUCAUAGUGGUCGUCGACCUCCACGAAACUGCACGCUCCGGCGUGACAGCGUACUGGGGAUGCCUGUGUUUACGCAGUCCGGGCUUGCCUGGACCGCCAGCAGAUGGGCUCUGUGGAUGACUGGCCGCUGGCUAGACCUGAAACCUGAGCAACGGGAGGUAACCUCUCGCCGCGGACACCGGAAUGGUAGAAGCGGCGUGCUGCGUCCUCCUCUUGGGGCCCCUAAGCCACACCUCCCACAGCGGGUUCGGUGCGGCGGACGGACGCCCUGGGGAAUUUAGAGGGGGAAAGCGGAUUGCCCUAGCGGUGUUGUUGGCCCUGCCGACCUCACUGCGAAAGGCGCGACUUCACCGUCGCCACCCAGUAACUUGUCUCUCCGGCGCUUCACGGCGCUGGUGGCCAACCCCGGCACACGAUAGUUACCUGGUUGAUUCUGCCAGUAGUCAUAUGCUUGUCUC
RNAcentral lists this unclassified non-coding RNA (2629 nucleotides) under Fusarium pseudoanthophilum. Its description in RNAcentral is "partial contains 28S ribosomal RNA, 28S-18S ribosomal RNA intergenic spacer, and 18S ribosomal RNA". The stretch from base 1 to 271 matches the Rfam family "Eukaryotic large subunit ribosomal RNA", at positions 3120 to 3401 of the family's 3401-position model. The record is from RNAcentral. Lineage: Eukaryota; Fungi; Ascomycota; Sordariomycetes; Hypocreales; Nectriaceae.